This 22-nucleotide microRNA is filed under the name Aedes aegypti (yellow fever mosquito). Its description in RNAcentral is "aae-miR-2944a-3p". Lineage: Eukaryota; Metazoa; Arthropoda; Insecta; Diptera; Culicidae. RNAcentral also lists the same sequence under 1 other name. The record is from miRBase by way of RNAcentral.
UAUCACAGUAGUUGUACUUUAA